RNAcentral lists this ribosomal RNA (450 nucleotides) under uncultured bacterium. Its description in RNAcentral is "bacterial SSU rRNA". It matches the Rfam family "Bacterial small subunit ribosomal RNA", at positions 330 to 794 of the family's 1533-position model. The record is from RNAcentral.
GCCAGACUCCUACGGGAGGCAGCAGUGGGGGAUAUUGGACAAUGGGGGAAACCCUGAUCCAGCGACGCCGCGUGAGUGAAGAAGUAUUUCGGUAUGUAAAGCUCUAUCAGCAGGGAAGAAAGAAAUGACGGUACCUGAGUAAGAAGCCCCGGCUAACUACGUGCCAGCAGCCGCGGUAAUACGUAGGGGGCAAGCGUUAUCCGGAAUUACUGGGUGUAAAGGGAGCGUAGACGGUUAAGCAAGUCUGGAGUGAAAGGCGGGGGCCCAACCCCCGGACUGCUCUGGAAACUGUGUAACUAGAGUGCAGGAGAGGUAAGCGGAAUUCCUAGUGUAGCGGUGAAAUGCGUAGAUAUUAGGAGGAACACCAGUGGCGAAGGCGGUCAACUGGACAGCAACUGACGCUGAGGCGCGAAAGCGUGGGGAGCAAACAGGAUUAGAUACCCUUGUAGA